CUCUCUUUUUAGUCCUUACCAAGAUAAUUGAGGAUCAUAAUGCUGAAAAAGAACUGCAGUCAUCAUUCGCUUGCCUGUCAGGUAUCAGUACUCAUCUUCAUGUCAUCCGUCACCACUGAACCAAUCUGUCAUCUUUCCACAGCCCUCAGCGCCGCUCCUUCUCAUCGUGUUCAUUAUCUCCAGCUCAGACCAAUACCCCCCUCCCCCCAACCCUGUAAAUGCAUC
Molecule: non-coding RNA, 225 nt
Organism: Pelobates cultripes (western spadefoot toad)
Lineage: Eukaryota; Metazoa; Chordata; Amphibia; Anura; Pelobatidae
Source: the annotation of a GenBank genome assembly